This 497-nucleotide ribosomal RNA is filed under the name uncultured bacterium. RNAcentral's name for it is "partial 16S ribosomal RNA". It matches the Rfam family "Bacterial small subunit ribosomal RNA", at positions 28 to 507 of the family's 1533-position model. The record is from RNAcentral.
GAUGAACGCUGGCGGCGUGCCUAAUACAUGCAAGUCGAGCGAACGGACGAGAAGCUUGCUUUUCUGAUGUUAGCGGCGGACGGGUGAGUAACACGUGGAUAACCUACCUAUAAGACUGGGAUAACUUCGGGAAACCGGAGCUAAUACCGGUUAAUAUUUUGAACCGCAUGGUUCAAAAGUGAAAGACGGUCUUGCUGUCACUUAUAGAUGGAUCCGCGCUGCAUUAGCUAGUUGGUAAGGUAACGGAUUACCAAGGCAACGAUGCAUAGCCGACCUGAGAGGGUGAUCGGACACACUGGAACUGAGACACGGUCCAGACUACAACGGGAGGCAGCAGUAGGGAAUCUUCCGCAAUGGGCGAAAGCAUGACGGAGCAACGCCGCGUGAGUGAUGAAGGUAUUCGGAUCGUAAAACUCUGUUAUUAGGGAAGAACAUAUGUGUAAGUAACUGUGCACAACUUGAAGGUACCUAAUCAGAAAGCCACGGCUAACUACGUG